RNAcentral lists this long non-coding RNA (1550 nucleotides) under Nicotiana tabacum (common tobacco). RNAcentral's name for it is "long non-coding RNA (NTAB_LNC012218)". The record is from RNAcentral. Lineage: Eukaryota; Viridiplantae; Streptophyta; Magnoliopsida; Solanales; Solanaceae.
AAGAGGAAAAUCUAAAAAGAGGUGCAUUUAUACGAGUAUAUAAUAAACGAGGAAAGUCACGAGGGACAUCCUUCCUUUUUGUGCAAACGCCAAAGUAUAUAUGCAUGGUUUGAGCGCAUCUUUUAUGCCAUCAGCCAAAGGCAUCCUUUCUUUAAUUACAAAUUCUUCUUUGGUAGUUUUUCCUCUUCCUCUUAUCCAUUCUUGUUAUAUUCGUGUGUUGGUUUGAGAGGUUGAAGCUGCCAGCAUGAUCUGGUAAGACGACCAUAAUCCAUUUCCUUUCCUCAGAUCCCUUAUCCGUAGAGGUGAAUUCAGAAUUUAGCUAGAGUCAGUAAAUUUAAAAUGAGUUUAAUCUUAUAAUAUUAUAUAUAUGUAUGUAUUUUAAUUAUUUAUUAUAUAUAUAUAAUUCGAGUUGAAAACAAUAAAUUGAAUCAAGAGAAUUCGCCUUAGAUUUGGCCCCUCUUCCUUAAUUUCCUAAUAAAAGAAAACUAUAUUUACCAUUCAAGAAAAAUGAAACGUUGAGAUAUUUUCCUUUAUUGGGUUGGACGCUAGCUAGAUUUAGAUGUGUUUUGUAAAUUGUAGUACCUACUGGGGAUGGGGAUAAAAGGAUUUGGGCUUUCAUAUAUAGGUUUAGUUUCAUCAGGUCAUCUAGCAGCUUCAAUCACUCACCAACAAUACAAGAGAUAAAUGAGCUAGCUUGAUUUUUCAUCAAGGAUAAGUCAAUUCUAUUAUGUUCAAAAGUUUUCAUAUAUAUAUCUCAGGUACUUUUUGAUUUGUCUUUUAUUUAAUUUGUUCUACUCUUAGAUUCUUCAAUCCUGCAGCUAUGGGCCUCUGGUGUACUUUGAGAUUGCUAUAGAUGUGAAUCCACUCAUUAAAACCUAAAAGAACUUUUUUUUCUCUCCACAUUUUACAUUUGAUUAGUCUAAGGUUGAACUUCCAAGAAAGCCAAAUUUCUUUUUCUCCUGUUUCGUGAACUUCUCUGGGUUCACUUAAAAAUAACUGCAUAAAAUUAUGCAUAGUAAUAACCUGAAAAAAUAAGAUAAGUAACCGGCCAGUUUAAUUAGUAUAUGAUAGGUUCAGAUUCAUUAAUAGUAUAUAAAUUGUUUAUAUAUUUAGUAUUAUAUUAAUUAAAUCCUUUUAUUUUUAUUUUUAAAUUUGAGAAUUGAUAAGCUCGGCAUGAAAUGAUGAGAAGUCCGAGAUAUUAUCCUAAGAACCUCUGAGGUUAUCCUUAACCAAGUUGCACUUCUCAUCCUCUAAAUCUCAAAUAUAUCGUAUGUUUGCGUGUUUGUUUGUUUGUUUUUCCGUGCAGAUAAUAUCAAGAGUCAGCAAGUAAAACAAAUUUCCAGGACACGAGAAAGACAUACUUGGUAAUCAAUAUUUAGCUUGUAAUUUUGUAAGCUUAUGGUAGUAACGACAUGAUGACAAACUACGUAAUUAGUUUGUGGGAAAAUUGAGAAGCAUUUUGGUUACUUUUGUCUAUACUCUUUUAUUGCAUCUAACAACUACUCUUUCGUUUGUUACAGGUAUUCUUUUUUUAUUAAUUUGUUUUAAAN